This 497-nucleotide ribosomal RNA is filed under the name uncultured bacterium. Its description in RNAcentral is "partial 16S ribosomal RNA". It matches the Rfam family "Bacterial small subunit ribosomal RNA", at positions 28 to 507 of the family's 1533-position model. The record is from RNAcentral.
GAUGAACGCUGGCGGCGUGCCUAAUACAUGCAAGUCGAGCGAACGGACGAGAAGCUUGCUUCUCUGAUGUUAGCGGCGGACGGGUGAGUAACACGUGGAUAACCUACCUAUAAGACUGGGAUAACUUCGGGAAACCGGAGCUAAUACCGGAUGAUAUUUUGAACCGCAUGGUUCAAAAGUGAAAGACGGUCUUGCUGUCACUUAUAGAUGGAUCCGCGCUGCAUUAGCUAGUUGGUAAGGUAACGGCUUACCAAGGCAACGAUGCAUAGCCGACCUGAGAGGGUGAUCGGCCACACUGGAACUGAGACACGGUCCAGACUCCUACGGGAGGCAGCAGUAGGGAAUCUUCCACAAUGGGCGAAAGCCUGACGGAGCAACGCCGCGUGAGUGAUGAAGGUCUUCGGAUCGUAAAACUCUGUUAUUAGGGAAGAACAUAUGUGUAAGUAACUGUGCACAUCUUGACGGUAACUAAUCAGAAAGCCACGGCUAACUACGUG